UACGGAGGAUCCAAGCGUUAUCCGGAUUUAUUGGGUUUAAAGGGAGCGUAGGCGGCUUGUUAAGUCAGGGGUGAAAGACGGUGGCUCAACCAUCGCAGUGCCUUUGAUACUGACGAGCUUGAAUAUAGUUGAGGUAGGCGGAAUGUGACAAGUAGCGGUGAAAUGCAUAGAUAUGUCACAGAACACCGAUUGCGAAGGCAGCUUACUAAGCUAUGAUUGACGCUGAGGCUCGAAAGCGUGAGGAUCAAACAGG
RNAcentral lists this ribosomal RNA (253 nucleotides) under uncultured bacterium. RNAcentral describes it as "partial 16S ribosomal RNA". It matches the Rfam family "Bacterial small subunit ribosomal RNA", at positions 524 to 776 of the family's 1533-position model. The record is from RNAcentral.